This 1356-nucleotide long non-coding RNA is filed under the name Ananas comosus (pineapple). Its description in RNAcentral is "long non-coding RNA (ACOM_LNC010904)". Lineage: Eukaryota; Viridiplantae; Streptophyta; Magnoliopsida; Poales; Bromeliaceae. The record is from RNAcentral.
GAAAAGAUAAAAAAAAAAAGAAAAAAUUUUAAAUAUCACCAUUGUAAUUUCGUACUUACUUCUUUUAGUACCCUGUAAUUUAAAAUGCAUCACUUUAGUAUCUUGUGGUUUCUUUUUUUUAUUUUUUGUUAUCUCCUCUAUUAAUUUUUUCAUUAAACCAAUGACAAAAUUAAAACCACAGGAUACUAAAGUAUAAAUUCGUUAAACCACAAGUAAAUAUUCAAUAAACCAUACAUGGAGUAUCUAAAGUUUUUUGUACGUGAUUUAGCGGUCAUAAAAGAAAAAAAUAAAAUCAUAGUAUACUAAAGUAAUAUAUUUUAAAUUACAGAAUACUAAACUGAGAAAAUACAAAACUACAGGAGUGAUAUUUAAAAUUUUGCUAAAUUACAAAAAAUCUCUGGAUCAAAACCCUCUUUUUCACUUUACCUUCCCGACUUUUAAAAACCUACAUUUUGUCCUUUCAAAAAUUGAAAAAUGUUUACUUUGGCUCUCGUCGUUAGGGUUCUAUCCAUCUUCUAUUAUUAUAUAUUUUUUACAUCCAAAAUACCCUUCUACCUCUCCAUGCAGUUGCCUCCUCCUUUCUCUCCAAGGUCCUUGGCGGCACCUUCUCACUUCUCGCCUUCUUUCAUGGCAAGUUCAAGUUCCCGGCUCUCCUUCGCCACCUCGCCGUCGUCUACCUUUCAGUCUGCGUCUACCCCAACCUCGCUCCCCACCGCCACCGAAUGAAAAGACUACGAAGUUGCAGAAAGAGGAGGGGAAGCACGUGGACCAAGCGUAAUCGGAGUUGGAGUCAACAGAGGUGCAGAGAAGGGACAAUAAAGUGCUGCAGAUGAAGAAGGGCUGGGAAGAAACGAAGAAGAUGGGAGCAUUUUGGUUUUUUUUUUUUAUCAUAAUUAACACCGUACUCUCUGUGAAUAUUUUUUAAUUUUUGAGAGGAUAAAAUAUAAAUUUUUAAAAGUUGGAGACAAAAAAUAAAGGGAAAACUUCAAAAACCCCCCCUGUGGUUUCGUGCAUUCUCACUUUGCUACCCUGUGGUUUAAAACGUAUCAAUUUACCCCCCUGUGGUUUCAUUUUUAUCUUUUCGGAAGCUUUUUCGUUAAUAUUUCGUUAAAUUAUAUACAAAAAACUUCAGAUAACCAUCUAUAUUUAUCAAAUAGUCACUUUAGUAUCCUUUAAUUUUAACUUUGUCAUUGAUUUUAAAAAAAAAAAAUAAUAAAAUUGAUAACAAAAAGAUAAAAACGAAACCACAGGGGGGCAAAUUGAUACGUUUUAAACCACAGGGUAGCAAAGUGAGAAUGCACGAAACCACAGGGGGGGUUUUUGAAGUUUUCCCAAAAAUAAAAAAAUGAGUUUUGA